GUAGAUCGCGGCGGUGAACUCCUUACAGUGGGAGAAUCCAAUGGUGUGGGCCCCGGUGAGGGCCACCAUUUCUUGAGCGGAGAAGCCUCUGGAUCCGAAGAGCUCGAUGAGCUGGGAGAUGGUCAUGGUGGGCAAGGGGAGGGUUCCGUCGACGGCGGCGGCGUGUGAGGAUUUCCCGUCGCGGCGGCCGAGGGGGACGUUGUAGUAAGGGCCACCCAUCAUGGUGACGAGGUCGCGGGCGGCGACGGCGAGGAUGUCGGCGCAGGAGACGGUGCCGGGGCAGGCGAGCUCGACGGCGGUCUUGGCGCGGACGACGACGUCGAAGGCGUCGCCGGGGAGGGAGAGGUUGAUGUCGGCGUCGCGCUCGGCUUUGUUGAAAUGGGUGGAGGAGAUUAGGACGGAGGCGUCGCAGCCGUUGUGGAGGCAGUCGUGGAAGAAGAGGCGGAGGGUGGCGGCGGCGGUGGUGGGGGUGGAGAUCUGUUUGUUGGUGACAAUGUCCUGAACAAUCUGCGUGAAUCUCGG
Molecule: long non-coding RNA, 522 nt
Filed under: Fragaria vesca (wild strawberry)
Lineage: Eukaryota; Viridiplantae; Streptophyta; Magnoliopsida; Rosales; Rosaceae
Description: long non-coding RNA (FVES_LNC001737)
Source: RNAcentral